RNAcentral lists this ribosomal RNA (120 nucleotides) under Paecilomyces variotii. RNAcentral also lists the same sequence under 1 other name. Lineage: Eukaryota; Fungi; Ascomycota; Eurotiomycetes; Eurotiales; Thermoascaceae. The record is from RNAcentral.
ACAUACGACCAUAGGGUGUGGAAAACAGGGCUUCCCGUCCGCUCAGCCGUACUUAAGCCACACGCCGGCAGGUUAGUAGUUGGGUGGGUGACCACCAGCGAAUCCCUGCUGUUGUAUGUA